AUUUCCCUCCCAAACUCAUUAAACUCUCAAAUUUCUUCUAAGCCCUAAAAUCAAUAAUAAAAAAAAUAAUAAUUAAUUUGCUUUUUUUCAAUAAACAACCCCUCAAUCAAAAAUUCAGAUUUCUUGUCUCAAAUCCUAAAUCCACAACUUCACCUCCAAACACCAUUCUUCGCCUGCGUCAUGAAUCGUAGUUGAAGAGGUAUGUUUUGGUUUUUCUGUUGAAACUCAAUUGAAGAGAUACAUUCAGAUUUCCGUUGCACAUUCCUUUCUUCAAUCGAUUCAACUCUCCUUCUCAGUCGUGCUAGUUUUCUUUGAAUCAUGAAUCCCAAAAAGGCAAAUAUGAGUCGAACAAAUCACAUAAUGUGGUCAUGAAAGCUGAUUUUAAGUAUCUAUAUGCACAUAAAUGGUACCAUCAGUUAGACAAGCUUAUUCAUUAAGUGAACAAGGUGUCACCCCCUUUGACAAGGAUCCAAAGUUGCAUAUAAAGAAAAGACAAACAGUAAUGAGUGGCUGUUAUUUGGCUGUGAGACAACAGAAUAUUUUAGAGGGUGAAAGAACUCGGUGCCAAAUAUAAGUUCAUUAGUGGAUGCUUUAGCAAUUGCUCAACACCAUGAUGAUGUCACUUGCACAGAAAAGCAGCACAGGGCCAACGAUCGUGCUAAACGGUUGGCGACAGGCUACAAGGAGGUGCAGUUUCAGUUUAUCUGUGUUCAAGAUGUAGUGAAUUAGAUGCUUUGUCUGAGGAAACUGAUGGGAGAUAUUACACCACUCUUCAUAGUCUCUCAGAUAUACUAUUUAAUGCCUUUGGUUCAUUCUUAGCUGUUAUGGAGAAUGGUACUUUAAAAGAAGCUAUUGGAAUUUGGAAGCACAAUUUUGAUAAAGAAUUUGAAGGAAGGUGUUGAGUGUCAUACCCCAAAAUUUGCCCAUCUCAUUUCAUCUGAAGGGUACAAGAGAUUAUAGGUCCUCCAAAAAAUCCUAGAACAUGUUCAUAUGAAAAAAAUUGAAGGAGAUACAAGGUUCAGAAGUUGGUCGAUCUUGGUGAAAUACAUAAAAGGCAAGAAUGGAUCAUUUUGAGUUUUUUAACCAAAUGGGCUUAAAUCUUUGAUUUCCAACUUGAUCCAUGAAUUAUCCACGGCCCAUAAGUCAUUCAACUUAUUUUGAGAGUAUAUUAUUUAUUAUUUAUUUUGAAUUUAAUCACCUAAAUUCAAUUUAAAAUUAAAUAAAAUACUUAAAAAAUAAUCAAAGGUCAAUAUAUUAUUCUAACUUAUUUCAAUAUCUCAUCAAAGAUUAGUGCAAAUCAAAUUAAAUAUAUCAUCUUUUCAUACCAAUUUCGUGACAAUAGGAUUAAGGAGAAUAAGACCAAGUUUUAGCCAAAAUUGGAAAUUUGAGAUGGUGAUUUGCAAUCAAGGUCAAUUUCUUGAUUCAAGUGGAUUUUGUACAAACCAAAUGACCUAAUUCAAUAAUAUAUAAACUAGCAAGAAUUGCAGCCAGGGGGAGGCGAAAAUUCUGGCCUCCAAGAUGCUUUUGCCGCAAAAGGAAAAACUGAUUGAAGAACAAAAAAAAAACGUGAGAAGGAGGAGAGGGGACAUUCACGGUUUAAGAUCGAUUCAAGGCAUCCUAAGUAUUCAAAGCGAUUCUUAGGUGUAUUCUGAGGCUAUUCGGAUCAUCACUUGCAAUCGACACGCCCAAAAUCGCCAUCGAUGGGGCUUUGGUUUGCAUAACUUUUUAUUUUUUCGAUUCUGGUCGUGCAGGCGUUUUAAACGAAUUUCGAUUAUAUAAUCAUGCUUAUAACAUUGUUGCAAUGCUUUCUGGUUAAUUUAAUUGAAGUUUAAUUGCAGAUAUUGGAAUCCACCAUUGUUAGGAUCCCAAGCUCUAAAUUGGGGUUUUAUAAAUUAAAUGGAAUUGGACUAAACAGGAUAUGCCAUCAUGUUCGGACCGUGAUUUGGAGUCGACCUGUGCUAUUUUAUUUCGUUCACAUACCAUGCUUCACAAGAUGGAUUUUCGCAGGGGAAAAAAAACAAAAAAAGCGCAGCGUGAGAUGAAGAAGAAGGCUGGCUGCUGCAAAUUGAAAUUGGUCCCUUAGCUUUCUAUUUAAUUCAUUACGUGUGGUGUAAUAACAGCAAAGUCACGCAGGUGAGUUGGCUAGAGAUGGAUGCCUCCAAUCGAAGGGUCUCGCGUUCGAACCCUGCAGGAGACCUACAUAUUUUUGCAAAUUGUGUGGUUUCAGUCACUUGUAGAUUCGGUGCUUUCCCCCCACGCGCGCACAUGGUGUUCCUCACUCCCUGGCCAUCAGAUCUCACCAGAAUUAGAUCUAACGCCUUAGAACUGCAAGGUGUACCAUGGGAUCUCAGAGGUGUAUCACAUAAGAUUAUUACCAGGUUUCUUUAUACUUUUUAUAUUAUUUAUACAAAUUGUUUAAUUAUGUAUAUAUAUAUAUAUAUAUUAAUAUGCAUACAUUUUUGUUAAUUAGGGUUAAAGAAUUAAACUAGGAUUAGGUUUAGGAUUACCACUCGAUUAUUCGAAUAUUUCGAUUAAUUUAUUUAAUUGAUUUUAAAUUAAUAUUAAAUCAUAAAAAUCCUAGAAAGGUUAAGGCGUUAGGGUUCGCCCAAUCCCAUUGCCCAUUUGGCGAAACAUUCAUCUUCGAUUAAUUCUCUCCUCAACCCGACUAAAUCUAUUAGUCGCAUUAGACGAGAGAUAAAACAAUAGAACAAUUAAUCCUUCAUUUUAAUUCUCUCUUCGACCCGACUAAAUCUAUUAGUCGCAAUAGACGAGAGAUAAAAAAAUAUAAAUUAAAAUACAUUUCAAUUUGCUGCCCGUGAUGAUCAAUCUAUCGAUCUGAGCAAUCAGCAAUGCCUUUAAUUCGUUAGCUAUACUGACCAAAUCCAUUGGUCACCGCAUCUAACGGUGCCAAAUCAAAUCAGGGUUGUAUGCCAAAUCUCAAAACAUUUUCCACAUUCAAAUAAAUUUCAAAACUGCGAAUAGGCCAUUCAAAAAGCCUUUAAACAAUUUCAAACCACAAAAUUCAAUCCUAAGGCGUACAACCCUGUGCCCGAACUACGUUGACUCUGAUUCUCCCUAAGGAGAUACGUAGGCACUUGGAUAACCAAGGCGAGUCCCCCUCCCUAAAAUCUCAAUUUUCCCCCUAUUCAAUUCAUUAGCUAUAAACCUUAUAAUUACUGCCAUAACCCUUAUCUUUACAAUGUUAGCCUUUAGGAAAGGGUUGAGGGUGCCUAAUACCUUCCCUCAACCUGAUUAUAAUAACUUACCCUGAAUCUCAUAUCUGCGUAGGAUUUCCUAUUCGCCCUUCAGAAUAGGUGGCGACUCUAAACCUUCAAAUUUAAGGCAGGUUGCUACAUUGAGGAGUAUUGAAUCUCAUGGAGAUUAGGAAUGAUGAUAUAGAUGAAGAUUUCUAGUCAAUAAAAAAUGAAGGGACCUAGAUGUAGAGAUUUAGAUGUAGAUGUUUAAGUUUUUUGAAUAUAUGUAGAUGGUCAUUUUAAAUUUAUUUUAUUUUGAUUGGAAAUGAUGAUUAACAUUAUAUACUAUUAUAUUAAAUCAUUUUUAUUUAAGUUAUUAACAAGGUUAGUAAUAGCCCCUAAAAAACCGUUCCCUAGAAUAUACUAAGCACAACGGUGUUAAGCUGCGAACGGAGAGAAGCCGUUGUUGAUGGAAAUUAUAAAAACCGUUCUCUAAAAAACCAAAGACAACGAUUAUUUACAAGGCGUUGCCAUUUGUAACAAAAACCGUUUUGAAAGGCUAAGACAACGCCUCAGUUUGAUACGGCGUAAAAACCGUUCUCAUAGACUAAGGGAACGGUUUUUAUAUAUUUCGCAACGGUUUUCUUUUGUUUUUGUAGGAUGAAAAUGUUGUAGUGCCAGUCAUCAAGACUCAGGUUUGCUCAGUUCACCAGACUAGGGUUUUGAGUCCAUCAAGGAUUAAAAUCAGGGACCACAUUUGGGAAACGCUAAGGAGAUUUAGGACAUCUAUCAAAUGGUUCAAUCAUCUUCAAAUGAUCCAUAUGACAAUAUCCAUAGGGCAUUACACUUCAAUUCAAGAUCUACAGUCAUCAAUUUCAUCUGGUCGACAAUUAGGGUUUUAGACCUAAUUCACUUGCACAGUUGACUUUUAAUCAGGACAUGGAUCCACCACUUAAAACAUGGCUCAAGAACUUCUAUUACUUCAAUAUAAUUCAUUCGUAUCAUCCAUUUGAGGAGGAGAGCUUGAUUCAACACAAAGCUCCAAAAUUUCACUUCAUCUGGAAAAAGUCAACUGUACAAGAUCACCUUUGACUUUUAAGAUUUUUGGUCAAACCAUGACUUUUAAGGACCAAUAUCAUCAAUAUAUGAUUAUUGAAGUCAUUUGGCCAAAGAAAAUCAAGAAAAAUCAUCAAGGAUCAAAAAGUCAACAAAAAGUCAAACUAGUGCAUUUUGACCUAGUUCAUGGAUAUCAAAAUUUCACCUACACAACUCAAAAAACUUCCAACAUUAAAGUUGUAGAUCUCAUCAAAUAAAACAACUUCUUACAUUGCAACUUUUUUCAA
Long non-coding RNA from Vicia villosa (hairy vetch), 4537 nucleotides. RefSeq lists it as uncharacterized. Lineage: Eukaryota; Viridiplantae; Streptophyta; Magnoliopsida; Fabales; Fabaceae. The transcript is spliced from 5 exons. The record is from RefSeq and is a predicted model, not a curated record.